AUUGAACGCUGGCGGCAGGCCUAACACAUGCAAGUCGAGCGAGCGGCGGACGGGUGAGUAAUGUAUGGGGACUGCCCGAUAGCGGGGGAUAACUACUGGAAACGGUGGCUAAUACCGCAUACUAUCGGAUGACCCAUAUGGGAUUAGCUAGUAGGUGGGGUAAAGGCUCACCUAGGCGACGCUCUCUCGCUGGUCUGAGAGGAUGAUCAGCCAAACUGGGCAGUAGACAAGGGCCAGGCUCCUCGGGAGGGCGCAGUUGGGAAUAUGGCACCAUGGGGGGAAGCCUGAUGCAACACUACCGGGUGUGUGAAGAAGGCCCUAGGGUUGUAAAGCAAUUUUGUUAGGGAGAUGUUACCUAAAGAAUAAGCACCGGCUAACUCCGUGCCAGCAGCCGCGGUAAUAC
Molecule: ribosomal RNA, 403 nt
Filed under: uncultured bacterium
Lineage: Bacteria
Description: partial 16S ribosomal RNA
Rfam family: Bacterial small subunit ribosomal RNA
Source: RNAcentral